UAAAUUAGUAAUGAGUCAAAUGAUUUGAAUCUUUAGAUAUACUUUUACAAAGCAGAUAUUAAAAGUGUAUGUUGGUGAUUACAACAGGGUAAUACUACUUUAACAAAUUAGAUAAUUAUAAUCUUAUACAAGAUCAAGUUCAAUAUCCUAAUAUACUUAUAUAUAAUUUCUACACUAAUUGUUUAAAAGAAUGGUAUUAUACUAUUUUUGAAAUUACAUUAUUUGAGCUUGUUUAAAAAAAAAAAAAACAAAAAACAAGUGGGGAAGCAUUUAUUAAUUGACGACCAAUCGACGAUUUAGCAACGGUUCAUUUAAAAGGAAAAAGAAAUAUUUUAGCAACGGUUACUUUACAGCCUCGCGAAAUCUAAAUUAGGAUUUUCCCGUUGUAUAUAUCCUUUGCUAUCAGUAUUUGCCUCUUGAUAUUACAAAUUUCCUAAUUCAUAUUUCCCAAAUUGAAGAGAAUAAAUUUUCCUCUUUUCUAUUCUCACAUUUCUAAUGCUUGCUUUUCUACCCAUCUCUUCCUCAGGCCAUCGUCACCGUCGCUACAAAUGGAUUCCUAACUCUCUUUCGUUUUCUUUUGACUUUCUUUUUUCUUUUGGGGUAUUUGUCAAGAAAUUGAAGACUUUUCACUGGUGCUUGGGCUCUAUUGGCGAUUUCUACACUGCACAGCAUUCCCGCAAGUAAUUGACAGGCAUGGCUUAAGCACAAUAUUGAUAACCUUUAGAAGCAAAUAUCAACUCCGGCAUCGUUGAUUCUUGAAAAUAUUUUCUAAUGUUCAGAAAUAUAAAGUUUUUGAAAACUUAUAUUACCCUUACACCACUCUUCUCCUCCCCAUUUCAUUCGACUCAUUACCACCAGCACCACCGGGUUCUUUAACCCAGUAUUUGCGAGUUAUCAAGUUUCAUGAAUGAGCCGCUUCUCUCUUCGAUUCAGCCCGAAUGGAUUCGUCCUAAAACAAUGCCCAUCUAACUUAGCCAAAUGUGAUUUUUGGAAAUUGUCUGGUGCUAAAAGUCGGCUCUUUAUUGUUACAAGUUGUGGUUUAUCUCUUCAAAUUGGGACUGAUUUAAUUUGAUUAGUAAUUGUAAAGUGGUUUUUGCUUUGUCAUUUUAUUAUCCUAUGAUUAAUUGCACUCUUUGCAUUUUUAUUUGGUGUUAUUUUUGUUGGAUCAUUUGUUGUGUGUAAUUAAUGCUUAAAAGAGUGUUUAAUGAUAUUAAUUUUGUUUUUGUUGCUCUGUCAUCUGGAUUCACGGCUUAAUAAUGAAGGUAAUAGCCUUUAUUCUUCGUAAUCCGAAAUGAAUUUUAUACGGUGGUUUUGGUGUAGUACUCUUAGUUGUACUUAAGAAAUUAUAAAGAAAGGAAAGGAAUAAGAGCACAUAUGGGUUGUCUCUGUAUUCUUUUCUAAUACUUGCUCUAUUUUCUUUUUUUUUUCUUCUUUUUAAGAGAAAAGGUUUAGGAGGGGAGACCAUUGUCUACUGCUGCAUGAAAUUACUUUCCUUGCAUCAUCAGCAGAAAAAUAAGAGAGUCUGCACUAUUAAAUUACAAAGUUUAGACAUAGACUAUAACUUUAGUCAAUUUUGUGUUUAAUUGGACCAAAAUAUACUUAAAAGUGAUUUUAAUUUCAUUUAAGGUGGAGAUUAUGUUCUUUGAUUAAUCUAAUAUACAGUAUUGAAUUUGGUCUGAGAUUGAUGAGAAUAUGGCAAGAGAGAUCAUAAAUGACAGGUCACUUGCUUCAAGGUGGUUUGUUUUUGACACUUUCUUUCUUUUUCUUUUUUUUUUCUUUUCCGAAAGUUAUAGUUUUUGCACAGGUGUUUAUCAAAACAGGAUUAACUUAAUUUCUGGAUGUAAAAUAGUGGGCUUUUAUGAGUUUGCAGGUGGUUUUGACACCAAGCCAUCUAGCUAUGGAGUAUGCUGCUGGAGGAGAGCUCUUUGAGCAAAUCUGCGAAAAUGGAAGAUUCAGCAAAGGGUUUGUUCCUAGCUGAAAGUUACUCUUACAUAUCCAUCAAUUGCAAGAAGAAAUAGAGAAUGAAAGAAUUCCACUUUGCAAAUGUGGGAAUUCGAGUCGUAUAGAAACCUCUGAGGACAAUUCGAACCGAGGAAGGCGGUUUUAUACCUGCUCGCCUCAACAUGUAUGUAAAAAGAGUCGAACUUGCAAUUUUCAUUUAUAGUAUGGUGGAGCUAACUGAUCAUCAAGUGGUUUAUGUGAAUGCAUUGAGGAAGAAAGUGAAGGAUUAUAGAGAAGAAAGAAAUGAGACUUUGAUACAAGCCGGGGAAGCACAAGCUAUUAGCUGAUGUGCUCUAGUACAAAUGAAGGGCUACCAAACAGAGAAUGAAACAAUGAAGAGUGAGAUUGAAGCAUUGAAAUAUGACUAUAUAGCAUUAAGGGCUGAAAAUUAUGUUCUUAAGGGUGAAAUUCAGUUGCUAAAAGAGGAAUCUGAACUUUUAAUGAUGGAGAUCGAUAUUCUGAAGGAGAAAAUACAAUCAACGGAGAGGAACAGGAUUAUGAAGAAAAUGCUAAUGGCUGGUGCUUGUCUUGUUGUCUAUGGAAAUGUGGUAUAUGCUCUGUGACGUAUAGAGUAGUGUUUUUGAUGCUUGUCUUGUUUUGCUGUUUGUGGGAAUGUAUGUUCAAGCAUUUCACAAACUGCAUAUAGGUUAGAUUUGCAGUUUGUAAAACUUAAUCCUUUUGCUUUUUAUCAUAUGUAUUUGUUUAAUGUUGAAGGCUAAUGGAACUGUGUUAAAUUUGGUAA
Ricinus communis (castor bean) is the source of this 2743-nucleotide long non-coding RNA. RefSeq lists it as uncharacterized. The record is from RefSeq and is a predicted model, not a curated record. The transcript is spliced from 3 exons. NCBI's taxonomy places the organism in Eukaryota, Viridiplantae, Streptophyta, Magnoliopsida, Malpighiales, Euphorbiaceae.